AGUUUCUUUGCCUAACUCUGAGUUGCUUGAGUCACAUUUUUGCAUGGUUCUUGAUUGACUUUCUGGUGCUCUGCCUGGAGGUCUUUGCUUAUCUGUGAGUUGCCUGAGUCACAUUUUUACAUGGUUCUGGUGCUCUGCCUGCAGGUCAAGAAGGAGCCAGUAUCUCCAGGAGGAGUGAGAGAGUGCUCUGCCAGUGUGAAGUGUGAAUCCUUGAGAGGCUGUGGCAAGGGUCCAUGCCUGAAUGUGUAGAACAAGAACAGCUGGAGGCUGUGGCUUUCUCCAGGAAGAGGUUUCUAAAUCUGCCUCUUAGAAGAUAUCAGAAAGUUAAAGUUUCUCUUGCUGCCGCCGUGUAAGAAGGACCUUUUGCCUCCCACCAUGAUUCUAAGUCCUCCCCAGCCACGUGGAACUGCUUUCAUUUGGUCUCUUUUCGAAUCAGAAGACCCAGAAAACUUGGAUCCACUUCUGGCUCUCAUCCCUCUGGGCAGUGUGAUUUGGAUUGAGCAGAUGCUCCGGCUGCCACUCCAUCAUAUAUUGGAAACAGCAUUACUUUAUAGUAAAUCAUGACCACGGUGUAUGGCAAUGAAGUUGCAUCUGAAGCAGCCGGCACCCUAUGUGCUAGCUGGCUUUUAGACCAGGAGACUGUGAAUCUGUGGUCAGGAUCUCUUUAGGGCUGCUAAAUAUAUACUACCCACUAUCACUCGCUGGAGCUGCAGACCCUAGUUUUAGAGUUUCACUUCUUAAAGACCUUCAUCCUUAUUAAAAUGGUAAUAUCCUUACUGUCA
Molecule: long non-coding RNA, 782 nt
Filed under: Homo sapiens (human)
Lineage: Eukaryota; Metazoa; Chordata; Mammalia; Primates; Hominidae
Description: non-protein coding LINC02384:31
Source: RNAcentral